UGUAUAGCUGUUUUAAUAUUGAAGGUGGAAGAAAAAGGCAAGAUUUUCAGCAUAUUGUGCUUUAUUAUUUCAAGAGAGAAAAACACAGCUGAAACACACAAAAAAAUUUGUGCAGUAUAUGGAGAAGGUGGUAUGAGUGAUCAAAUGUGUCAAAAGUGGUUUGUGAAGUUUCAGGCUGGAGAUCUCUCACUGGGUGAUGCUCCACAGUUGGGUAGAGCAGUUGAAGUUGAUACUGAUCAAGUCAAGACAUUAAUAGAACAGUCAGCAUUAUACCACUUGAGAGAUAGCUGACAUGCUCAAAAUACUCAAAUCAAGCAUUGAGAAUCACUUUCACCAGCUUGUUUGUGUUAAUCGCUUUGAUAAAUUUGGGUUCUACAUAAGUGAAGUGGAAAAAACCUUGACCAUAUUUCCACAUGUGGUUCUACUGAAACAUAGCAAAAACUUUCUAUUUUUAAAAUAAAUUGUGAUGGGCAAUGAAAAGUAGACACCGUACAAUAACAUGGAACAGAAGAGAUCAUGGGCAAGCAAAAUGAACCACCACCAACCUCACCAGAGGCCAGUCUUCAUCCAAAGAAGUGAUAUUGGAAGAUGGUGGGAUUGGAAAGGAGUCCUCUAUUAUGAACUUCUUUUGUAAAACCAAACAAUUAUUUCCACCAAGUACUGCUCCCAAUUAGACCCACUGAAAGCAGCAAUCAACAAAAAGUGUUCAAAAUUAGUCAACAGAAAGCCCACAAUCUUGCAUCAAGGGACUGAAAAGAAAAAAAAAGUAGGAAAAAAAGUACAUAAGAACAUUCCCCAAAAAGAUUGGAGGAAGCUACCUAAAAGCAAUGCCUGUUAACCUCUAUCUCAUUCACAUCCAAUUUACUUGUUUAGAUCACUCACAAAAAUUUUAUCAUACCAAGUUACUUUUCUUGCCGACAAGUUUUGUAACAAAGAUAACAUGAACUUACCUGACCAGUAAACUCAAGGAGAAUAAAAGUUGUAUGCCUGCAUUAUUUUCAGUGUUGAUAGCUCUAAAGAUAUGCUUGUUUUACUUAAAAACUCCAAACUUGCUUUAAUAUGCCAAAAUUAAUCUCAGAUCAUAUAAACCUGAAAAGUGCU
Long non-coding RNA from Bos taurus (domestic cattle), 1101 nucleotides. NCBI's taxonomy places the organism in Eukaryota, Metazoa, Chordata, Mammalia, Artiodactyla, Bovidae. The record is from Ensembl.